AAUCAACGCUGGCGGCGCGCCUAACACAUGCAAGUCGAACGAGAAAGGGAGCAAUCCCUGAGUACAGUGGCGUACGGGUGAGUAACACGUGGAUGAUCUACCCUCUAGUGGGGAAUAACCUUGGGAAACCGAGGAUAAUACCGCAUAAGCUCGAGAGAGGAAAGCAGCAAUGCGCUGGAGGAGGAGUCCGCGGCCGAUUAGCUAGUUGGCAGGGUAAAAGCCUACCAAGGCAUAGAUCGGUAGCCGGCCUGAGAGGGCACACGGCCACACUGGCACUGAAAACACGGGCCAGACUCCUACGGGAGGCAGCAGUGGGGAAUCUUGCACAAUGGGGGAAACCCUGAUGCAGCGACGCCGCGUGAGCGAUGAAGCCCCUUCGGGGUGUAAAGCUCUUUCGGCAGGGAAGAUAAUGACGGUACCUGCAGAAGCAGCUGCGG
RNAcentral lists this ribosomal RNA (437 nucleotides) under uncultured bacterium. RNAcentral describes it as "bacterial SSU rRNA". It matches the Rfam family "Bacterial small subunit ribosomal RNA", at positions 29 to 496 of the family's 1533-position model. The record is from RNAcentral.